AUAUUGCACAAUGGAGGGAACUCUGAUGCAGCGACGCCGCGUGAACGAAGAAGGCUUUCGAGUCGUAAAGUUCUUUUAUAUGGGAAGAUAAUGACGGUACCAUAAGAAAAAGCCCCGGCUAACUACGUGCCAGCAGCCGCGGUAAUACGUAGGGGGCUAGCGUUGUCCGGAAUCACUGGGCGUAAAGGGUUCGCAGGCGGAAAUGCAAGUCAGGUGUAAAAGGCAGUAGCUUAACUACUGUAAGCAUUUGAAACUGCAUAUCUUGAGAAGAGUAGAGGUAAGUGGAAUUUUUAGUGUAGCGGUGAAAUGCGUAGAUAUUAAAAAGAAUACCGGUGGCGAAGGCGACUUACUGGGCUCAUUCUGACGCUGAGGAACGAAAGCGUGGGUAGCAAACAGGAUUAGAUACCCUGGUAGUCCACGCUGUAAACGAUGAGUGCUAGGUAUCGGAAUAAUUCGGUGCCGCAGUUAACACAUUAAGCACUCCGCCUGGGGAGUACGUGCGCAAGCAUGAAACUCAAAGGAAUUGACGGGGACCCGCACAAGCAGCGGAGCAUGUGGUUUAAUUCGAAGCAACGCGAAGAACCUUACCAGGGCUUGACAUACUGAGGACCGGUAUAGAGAUAUACCCUCUUCUUCGGAAGCCUCAAUACAGGUGGUGCAUGGUUGUCGUCAGCUCGUGUCGUGAGAUGUUCAGUUAAGUCUGGCAACGAGCGCAACCCCUAUCUUUAGUUACCAGCAUUUCGGAUGGGGACUCUAAAGAGACUGCCGAUGAUAAAUCGGAGGAAGGUGGGGAUGACGUCAAAUCAUCAUGCCCUAUAUGCCCUGGGCUACACACGUGCUACAAUGGAAGAUACAAAGGGAAGCGAAAUAGUGAUAUUAAGCAAACCUCAAAAAGUCUUUCCCAGUUCGGAUUGUACUCUGCAACUCGAGUACAUGAAGAUGGAGUUGCUAGUAAUCGCAGAUCAGAAUGCUGCGGUGAAUGCGUUCCCGGGUCUUGUACACACCGCCCGUCACACCAUGGAAGCUUGUAAUACCCGAAGCCUGCGAGCAAACCGUAAGGAAGCAGCAGUCGAAG
RNAcentral lists this ribosomal RNA (1075 nucleotides) under Peptoniphilus harei. RNAcentral describes it as "bacterial SSU rRNA". It matches the Rfam family "Bacterial small subunit ribosomal RNA", at positions 361 to 1461 of the family's 1533-position model. The record is from RNAcentral. Lineage: Bacteria; Bacillati; Bacillota; Tissierellia; Tissierellales; Peptoniphilaceae.